AUUUGAAGCCUGGUCCCCAGAACUGUGAGGCCAACGCUCUACAGCUGCUCCACCAUUUACCUGAGAGUAUGAGAACCUGUGAGACCGUAAGAACCUUUGCUGCACAGAUACAACAGAGGAACAUUUUGUCAGUUCUCUUGGAAAGAGAACUUCGUAAACCAAUCACAACCAUCCAAGGAAUUUCCUGACCCCUUACCUGCGGAUCCCCUUUGUCGGACUCAAUCAACCAGGAAGCC
Long non-coding RNA from Syngnathoides biaculeatus (alligator pipefish), 236 nucleotides. RefSeq lists it as uncharacterized. NCBI's taxonomy places the organism in Eukaryota, Metazoa, Chordata, Actinopteri, Syngnathiformes, Syngnathidae. The record is from RefSeq and is a predicted model, not a curated record. The transcript has 3 exons.